CGAAUGGUCAUGUCUGUUUAUCAACUCAUUUGAAUAUGGCGCACAAUAACGAAGUUCUUGUUGUACUUGAAGAAGUUGCCCGUGUAAAUAAGGAGUUUAUAAACGAGAACCGCGUUCUACGAGAAGAUCUACAAAGGAGAGAUCAGGAGCAGAGAAAGAUUUUGGCUGAUCUUAAUCAGAAAUUACAAGAAGCCACGAGCGGGAACAACUGUUCUGUUAGCAGAAGGACCAGUGCAAAGACAUCACAGGUCAAAGUCCCUGCUGCCUGUCGGG
Paramuricea clavata is the source of this 273-nucleotide non-coding RNA. NCBI's taxonomy places the organism in Eukaryota, Metazoa, Cnidaria, Anthozoa, Malacalcyonacea, Plexauridae. The record is from the annotation of a GenBank genome assembly.